AGGACGAACGCUGGCGGCGUGCUUAACACAUGCAAGUCAAGGGGGCCCGCAAGGGCAACCGGCGAACGGGUGCGUAACACGUGAGCAACCUGCCGAAUGCGUGGGGGAUAGCCGGCCCAACGGCCGGGUAAUACCGCAUACGUUCCUCUGGGGGAGUCCCUGGGGGGAGGAAAGCUGUGGCGUAAGCCAUGGCGCGCGUCGAGGGGCUCGCGGCUUAUCAGCUAGUUGGCGGGGUAACGGCCCACCAAGGCGACGACGAGUAGCUGGUCUGAGAGGAUGGCCAGCCACAUUGGGACUGAGAGACGGCCCAGACUCCUACGGGAGGCAGCAGUGGGGAAUCUUGCGCAAUGGCCGAAAGGCUGACGCAGCGACGCCGCGUGGGGGAUGACGCAUUUCGGUGUGUAAACCCUGUUGCCGGGACGAACACCUCCUUUGGGAGGCUGACGGUACCGGGUGAGGAAGCACCGCUAACUCCGUGCCAGCAGCCGC
Molecule: ribosomal RNA, 489 nt
Filed under: uncultured soil bacterium
Lineage: Bacteria
Description: bacterial SSU rRNA
Rfam family: Bacterial small subunit ribosomal RNA
Source: RNAcentral